AGUGAACGCUGGCGGUAGGCCUAACACAUGCAAGUCGAACGGCAGCACAGUAAGAGCUUGCUCUUACGGGUGGCGAGUGGCGGACGGGUGAGGAAUACAUCGGAAUCUACUUUUUCGUGGGGGAUAACGUAGGGAAACUUACGCUAAUACCGCAUACGACCUACGGGUGAAAGCAGGGGAUCUUCGGACCUUGCGCGAUUGAAUUAGCCGAUGUCGGAUUAGCUAGUUUGCGGGGUAAAGGCCCACCAAGGCGACGCUCCGUAGCUGGUCUGAGAGGAUGAUCAGCCACACUGGAACUGAGACACGGUCCAGACUCCUACGGGAGGCAGCAGUGGGGAAUAUUGGACAAUGGGCGCAAGCCUGACCCAGCCAUACCGCGUGGGUGAAGAAGGCCUUCGGGUUGUAAAGCCCUUUUGUUGGGAAAGAAAAGCAGCAGGUUAAUACCCCGCUGUUCUGACGGUACCCAAAGAAUAAGCACCGGCUAACUUCGUG
Molecule: ribosomal RNA, 492 nt
Filed under: uncultured bacterium
Lineage: Bacteria
Description: partial 16S ribosomal RNA
Rfam family: Bacterial small subunit ribosomal RNA
Source: RNAcentral